Molecule: ribosomal RNA, 245 nt
Filed under: uncultured archaeon
Lineage: Archaea
Description: partial 16S ribosomal RNA
Rfam family: Archaeal small subunit ribosomal RNA
Source: RNAcentral
UACCCGCAGCCCAAGUGGUGCUCGUUAUUAUUGGGUUUAAAACGUCCGUAGCCGGUCCAGUAAAUUCUUGGGUAAAUCGACUGGCCUAACCAGUCGAAUUCCGGGGAGACUGCUGGACUCGGGACCGGGGGAGGUCGGAGGUACUUUCAGGGUAGGGGUGAAAUCCUGUAAUCCUGGGGGGACCACCAGUGGCGAAGGCGUCCGACCAGAACGGCUCCGACGGUAAGGGACGAAGCCCUGGGGCG